This 2919-nucleotide long non-coding RNA is filed under the name Marmota monax (woodchuck). The record is from RNAcentral. Lineage: Eukaryota; Metazoa; Chordata; Mammalia; Rodentia; Sciuridae.
GUGCAUAUUUUGUCCAUGUUGAGCAGAGCACGCUCUCUCUCGCUCGCUCUCUCUCUCUCUCUCUCUCUCUCUCUGCUCCCUGGCUGCACUGUUCCCAGCUGAUCCUCCACCCCACAACUCUGCCAUGAUGUUCUGCCUCACUGCACCCCAAGGAGUAGAGCCGGCUGUCUAGGGAGGGAGACCUCUGAAACCGGGAGCCCCCAAAUGAACUUUUCCUCCUGUCCUUGUCACAGCAGGGAAGAUGCUGCCUUCAACACCACGGCCUCUCCCUCUGGCCGCUUGCUUUGUCUUGCUUCCGUGUAUAAUGACAUGUUUCACGAUCACCAAACCUUGUGCUGAUGACUCUGGUCAUUUGGGGUCUGGGCUCAUUCCCUGUUAGGUUCCUCAGGGAGAGCUUGUGGGAACACGACUCUUGCAGGUCACAGUAAUCCCCGUGCGUAUCUGGAAGCCAGUUUUGCUGGAUAUAAAACCCACGGAGCACCCCUCCUUCCUGUGAGACUCUGAAGUGGGAGGUCCGUUUUGAAGAUUGUCUAAUUUUUUUCCUUUGUAAGUUCUGUGCUCUUUUUCCCCCUUUUCGAUUCCUGAAGUUUUCAUAUGUCUUUAUUUUACUUUUUUGGUGGUGUGGGGAUCGGACCCAGGGCCCUGUGCAUGGGAGGCCAGCACUCUACCAGCACUCUACCAACAGAGCUACACGCCCAGCCCCUUGCUUUAUUUUCUGACCUCCGUGAUUUCCUGGACUCCGCCUUGCCUUGGCCAUUCUGAGUCAGUGGUCUCAGAAGUGCAGUAUUCUCUUUCAAUAACUGGUUUCAGAUCUCGUUUGUUUAUUUCAGGAAAUUUUUCUUGAUUUAUGUUUUUAAUAUUUGUUUUCUUCUUUUGGUUAUCUUCUUAAAGGACUCCUCUUGUCUUCAUGUUUAAUCAUCUUUGCCCAUCUUCAAUAUUUGCUUUAUUUUCUCAAAAAUCUUUUAAUUAUUUUUAAUUUAAAAUCUUUUUUGUUGUUGUUUUUUAAUCUACUAUUUCUUUUCAGGCAUUAUUUUUUGUUUGUUCACCCUUGUGUUCCUUCCAGCUUAGUCUGUGUUUGUGAUAUAAACUUUUGCCUUCUAAUUCUUUUAUGAGUAGUCAUCUCAUUUUUUAGUUUUCCCCCAAAUGGGAUUUAGCCCUUGUGUUGUAUCAUUUUAGCUCAUUUAUAAAAGGUAUGUUAAUUUUAGUCUGCUUUGUGGUCACCUCUUUGUGGUGUUUUGGUUGCCUAUAGAUGGGUUUAUUCUCUCCCUUACCCUCUUUUUCUUAUUUGUGGUCAUUUUAUGUGGGAUUGGUCCUUCUAUUGUUCGUUUUUAAGUGAAAUUUGUUCUCCAGAACUUUCCAAUUAAGCAGUGAUCAAGAACACUUUUCUUCCUCCAGAGACCUCCCUCCUCCAUUGUUUUGUGUAUUGUUUAAAAAAAAUCAAUCAACAAUCAAUCAAUAGAUCAAUAGACAGGGUGCCUUGCUUUCUGAGCACCCAGGGCCUUUCCCCAUCCUCAGUGUGGCCUGCAUCCUCCUCUCGUUAUAUCUACUGUCCAUUCUGAUUCCCUUUUCUGAGUUUCUCCUCUGUGCACGGUCUGUCUCUGAACUGAGCUCUCUGGAAGGGUGUUUGGAGAAGUCACAGAGCUUGGGCUGUGCCAGCCCCUGUGGUCCUCCCUCUGUCACCAGCAAUUGGAGGGACAAGCCCUUGGACUUCCCUGGCUGUCCCAGGACUCUGCCUUUGUUAGCUUCUGAGGACCCAGCCCUUUGUGACUGCACUCUGGGUAGAGGUAGCAGAAGCCAGGAGAUUUCUUUCUUUCUUUUUCUUUUUCUUUUUUUUUUUCAGUUACAUGAUUUUUUUUAUUAAUAGAUCCCAUUUUUAUUUGCCCCUUUUUUUUCUUUUUUUUCCACAUUUUUUAUUGGUGCCCUAGAAUUGUAGUUGUUGAUGUGCUUUGUUGUUCCAUAUUCAUGUGGGCACACCAUGUGACAAUAACGUGACCAGGUCAGAACAUUUCACUGCCGGUGGAUACUUCAGCAGGUGGAGGAGUACAGAAUGCAUUCUAGAUGCUCACGGAUAUACGCCAACAGUGUUUAGCAACUGAACUUUCCCCCAAAAUUAAUGGUGUAUAAUAUGGUUGAAUGAAUAUUUUAGAUAAAUAGCAAGUUGACAGUCUCUGUAAUUAUGUUAUGAGCUGAAAGGAGUGAUAAGUGUUUGUUUGAGUUUUACAUAUUAAUUUAGAAAAUUUUGACUUGAUUGUAAUUAAUAAUUAUUAGUUUUCAUUCAUAUUGAUAAUAAAUAUUUAAUUCAAAGAUAUGAAUGGAGCAAAAGGGUAAAAUUUUGAACCUUAGUUAGGUCUGUUAAUCUCUGUAUUAAGAUAGAAAUGAAGUGAAAAUUCUUUUUUUUUUAAAUCAUCAUUCUUUUUUAGGGACUCAUUCAGGUUUAAAAAUUAAUCUUUCAAAUGAACUGAAAAUUCAUAUUUUGUGACAGGUAGGGAAAAUCAAGUUAUGAAUCAUUUCUGUUCCACACCGAAUGCAAAUGUUAUGGGGAGAGGAACAUGCUUUUCAUGGACUAUUAUUUUUGUUCUUGGGGUUGAAUUAUUUGGGCAGGCUGCAGUGCUACCUGAGCCUGGGGCCUGCACCGAGGUCCUGGGAGGCCCCCUCCUCCUGGGAACAUAGGAGGGCCAGGGGUCAGACCACCGGCCUUCUCAGCCACUCAGCCAGCUGCAGAUGGUGGCGGGUGGGCUGAGGGUCCCAGCAGCAGUCUGGGCUGCUCCCUCCGCGGCCGUGGGUGCUCCCCUGUGGGAGGCUUUCUCCGGCAUCUUGAAGCAAGCCUGGGUGCACAUGGGCACUGUGAGGGCCAUCUUGAGCCCACGGGGAGGGGCCUGGCGCACCGUGAGGUCAGGGGAGGGAAGGUGAGGCCCCGUC